UGGGGAAUCUUGGACAAUGGGCGCAAGCCUGAUCCAGCCAUGCCGCGUGAGUGAUGAAGGCCUUAGGGUCGUAAAGCUCUUUCGCCAGGGAUGAUAAUGACAGUACCUGGUAAAGAAA
RNAcentral lists this ribosomal RNA (118 nucleotides) under uncultured bacterium. RNAcentral's name for it is "partial 16S ribosomal RNA". It matches the Rfam family "Bacterial small subunit ribosomal RNA", at positions 355 to 490 of the family's 1533-position model. The record is from RNAcentral.